RNAcentral lists this ribosomal RNA (310 nucleotides) under uncultured bacterium. Its description in RNAcentral is "bacterial SSU rRNA". It matches the Rfam family "Bacterial small subunit ribosomal RNA", at positions 28 to 334 of the family's 1533-position model. The record is from RNAcentral.
GACGAACGCGUGGCGGCGUGCCUAACACAUGCAAGUCGAACGGAGUGGAUGGAUUUCGGGUUAUCACUUAGUGGCGAACGGGUGAGUAACGCGUGAGAAACCUGCCUUUCAGUGGGGGACAACAGUUGGAAACGACUGCUAAUACCGCAUAAUGUUAUUUGGGGGCAUCCCUGAAUAACCAAAGCUUAAUGUGCUGAAAGAUGGUCUCGCGUCUGAUUAGCUGGUUGGUGAGGUAACGGCUCACCAAGGCGACGAUCAGUAGCCGGUCUGAGAGGAUGAACGGCCACAUUGGGACUGAGAUACGGCCCAG